GCUGCUCUAGAAGGAUUUAUAGUUUCCUCUGUGCUCAGACAACUGCUGCCUCCCCUUUCUCAAGCAGAUGUGCACGAAUUUUAGCUUCAGUAACUGUUGCCGUUGUGGACACCCUCAGAAUGACAGAAGAGGCAAAAUCAGUAGGAACUGGACACAGGGAGAGAGGAAUAUCGGUGAUGGAUAGAGGCUCAGUACUAGGUUUGGGUUUGUUACAUGUGUGGGUGAGAUUCAACUCCAAACUCAAAUACCUACUUUUAGUCGUCUUCAUGCCCAAAUGAAUCUGUAGCCAGUUUUAAUCCAGGUCAAAGACUGCAUGCACCAGCAAAAUGAGACAACAGACAGAGUCAUUGAAAUACCUGAAACUCAUACUGAAUUCCAGUUCUCAGACAACAUAACUGCAUUAAACACAUGAAAGAAAUGCUGCUUUAUACUCAGGAUUACAGUGCCAUUACAGAGACACAGUCAGCUGAGAGAAGAGGAGGAAGGAAUUUCCUCACUUUCUUAUCCAGACCUCUGAGUAGGAGAUGCUGAGAGAGGAGCACAAC
Chiroxiphia lanceolata (lance-tailed manakin) is the source of this 545-nucleotide long non-coding RNA. RefSeq lists it as uncharacterized. The record is from RefSeq and is a predicted model, not a curated record. NCBI's taxonomy places the organism in Eukaryota, Metazoa, Chordata, Aves, Passeriformes, Pipridae. The transcript has 3 exons.